Molecule: ribosomal RNA, 255 nt
Filed under: uncultured bacterium
Lineage: Bacteria
Description: partial 16S ribosomal RNA
Rfam family: Bacterial small subunit ribosomal RNA
Source: RNAcentral
UACGUAGGGGGCGAGCGUUGUCCGGAUUUAUUGGGCGUAAAGAGCUCGUAGGCGGUUUGGCAAGUCGGGUGUGAAAACUCCGGGCUCAACUCGGAGACGCCACUCGAUACUGCCAUGACUUGAGUCCGGUAGGGGAGUGCGGAAUUCCUGGUGUAGCGGUGAAAUGCGUAGAUACCAGGAGGAACACCGGUGGCGAAGGCGGCUUCCUGGACGGAUUAUUGACGCUGAGGCACGAAAGCGUGGGGAGCAAACGGG